This 429-nucleotide ribosomal RNA is filed under the name Acidobacteriota bacterium. RNAcentral's name for it is "Acidobacteria bacterium partial 16S ribosomal RNA". It matches the Rfam family "Bacterial small subunit ribosomal RNA", at positions 355 to 776 of the family's 1533-position model. Lineage: Bacteria; Pseudomonadati; Acidobacteriota. The record is from RNAcentral.
UGGGGAAUUUUGGACAAUGGGGGAAACCCUGAUCCAGCCAUCCCGCGUGUGCGAUGAAGGCCUUCGGGUUGUAAAGCACUUUUGGCAGGAAAGAAACGUCAUGGGUUAAUACCCCGUGAAACUGACGGUACCUGCAGAAUAAGCACCGGCUAACUACGUGCCAGCAGCCGCUGUAAUACGUAGGGUGCAAGCGUUAAUCGGAAUUACUGGGCGUAAAGCGUGCGCAGGCGGUUCGGAAAGAAAGAUGUGAAAUCCCAGAGCUCAACUUUGGAACUGCAUUUUUAACUACCGGGCUAGGGUGUGUCAGAGGGAGGUGGAAUUCCGCGUGUAGCAGUGAAAUGCGUAGAUAUGCGGAGGAACACCGAUGGCGAAGGCAGCCUCCUGGGAUAACACUGACGCUCAUGCACGAAAGCGUGGGGAGCAAACAGG